This 440-nucleotide ribosomal RNA is filed under the name uncultured bacterium. RNAcentral's name for it is "partial 16S ribosomal RNA". It matches the Rfam family "Bacterial small subunit ribosomal RNA", at positions 338 to 795 of the family's 1533-position model. The record is from RNAcentral.
CCUACGGGUGGCAGCAGUGGGGGAUAUUGCACAAUGGGGGGAACUCUGAUGCAGCGACGCCGCGGGGGUGAAGAAGCGCCUCGGCGCGUAAAGCCCUGUCAGCAGGGAAGACAAUGACGGUACCUGAAGAAGAAGCCCCGGCUAACUCAGUGCAAGCAGCCGCGGUAAUACGUAGGGGGCAAGCGUUAACCGGUUUUACUGGGUGGAAAGGGAGAGUCGACGGCAAGGCAAAUCUGGAGUGACAGCCCGUGGCACAACCACGGGACUGCUUUGGAAACUGUGUUGCUGGAGUGCAGGGGGGGUAAGCGGAAUGCCUGGGGUAGCGGUGAAAGGCGUAGAUAGUAGGAGGAACACCGGUGGCGAAGGCGGCUGACUGGACUGUAACUGACGUUGAGGCUCGAAGGCGUGGGGAGCAAACAGGAUUAGAUACCCGAGUAGUC